This 382-nucleotide long non-coding RNA is filed under the name Rattus norvegicus (Norway rat). RNAcentral's name for it is "long non-coding RNA NONRATT007181". The record is from RNAcentral. Lineage: Eukaryota; Metazoa; Chordata; Mammalia; Rodentia; Muridae.
UGUUGCCAGGCUGUCAGCCAGGUCACAUGAGCAAUUUUGUGUCACAGAUGACAAGGACCUCCCUAGUGUGCCACCACUGGAGCUCAGUGUACCUGCUGACUACCCUGCCCAGAGCCCGAUGUGGGUCGACCGUCAGUGGCAAUAUGAUGCCAACCCCUUCCUGCAGUCAGUGCACCGGUGCAUGACCUCCAGGCUGCUGCAGCUCCCUGACAAGCACUCAGUCACAGCCCUGCUCAACACCUGGGCCCAGAGCAUCCACCAGGCCUGCCUCUCAGCUGCCUAGCAAACUUGAACUUCAGGACGGCCAGCAGCCCUUCUGGCUGAGGGUCUCAUACCACCUACCAAACGUCACUAGGUGUUGGCUUCUUAGAGGGCCGGGGCU